GUUCCCUCAUCAUUGGCAAAUUGGAGUCCCCAAGGUUAGCCCCCUCAGUAAUGUUCUUCAGUGGGGCACGGGGCAGGGGGGAGGGGCCCCCUUAGCUCUCGGAGGCUACAGCCUCCCCGUCGCGGCUCUCCGUCUCCUCCGGGAUGUCCUGCAUUCUGGUAAAGUCUCGUGGACUGUGGGGCGGAGACAGACGGCUGCUACCUUCCUCCUCGCUGCCAGUGUCAGGGUCACUGCUGUCUUGCAGCCGCUCUUCGGGGCUCCCCAGUUCCUGCCUCUCUCGGUCCUCAAAGUUUCGAUGGACAGAGCGAGUAGUGACAGGUAGA
RNAcentral lists this long non-coding RNA (323 nucleotides) under Homo sapiens (human). RNAcentral's name for it is "LNC_000175". Lineage: Eukaryota; Metazoa; Chordata; Mammalia; Primates; Hominidae. The record is from RNAcentral.